AUUGAACGCUGGCGGCAUGCCUUACACAUGCAAGUCGAACGGUAACAGCACUUCGGUGGCUGACGAGUGGCGAACGGGUGAGUAAUACAUCGGAACGUGCCCGAGAGUGGGGGAUAACGCAGCGAAAGCUGUGCUAAUACCGCAUACGAUCUACGGAUGAAAGCAGGGGACCGCAAGGCCUUGCGCUCAUGGAGCGGCCGAUGGCAGAUUAGGUAGUUGGUGGGAUAAAAGCUUACCAAGCCGACGAUCUGUAGCUGGUCUGAGAGGACGACCAGCCACACUGGGACUGAGACACGGCCCAGACUCCUACGGGAGGCAGCAGUGGGGAAUUUUGGACAAUGGGGGAAACCCUGAUCCAGCCAUGCCGCGUGCAGGAUGAAGGCCUUCGGGUUGUAACGUAGCUUUGUUACGGUAACGAAAAGGUACGUUUUCUUAAUAAAGUAAAGAACUCAUGACGGUACCGUAAGAAUAAGACACCGGCUAACUACGUAGCCAGCAGCCGCGGUAACCG
This 511-nucleotide ribosomal RNA is filed under the name uncultured bacterium. Its description in RNAcentral is "bacterial SSU rRNA". It matches the Rfam family "Bacterial small subunit ribosomal RNA", at positions 30 to 527 of the family's 1533-position model. The record is from RNAcentral.